AAAAAGGCAAAUCCUGGUUUCCGUGUCCAACUUUAACUGUCCGUCUUAUAUAAAAUUUUUUUAUAAUUCAUAUUUUUAUUAUUGUUAGAUGAUAAAACAUGAUUAAUAUUUUAUGCGUGACUUAUCUUUUUAAAUUUUUUCAUAAUUUUUUCAAAUAAGACGGACAGUCAAACAUUAGACACGGAAACCAGGUUUUGCCUUUUUU
Oryza barthii is the source of this 205-nucleotide non-coding RNA. The record is from Rfam. Lineage: Eukaryota; Viridiplantae; Streptophyta; Magnoliopsida; Poales; Poaceae.